ACAGACAGGUUUGAAUGACAGGUGUCCGUCACAGGUGCAGCGACGAGGCCAAGUUCUUCAAAACUUUUUGCCCCGGCUGAACGACAUGUUUCCUUGAAACGGGCUUCAAGGCAUUUUAUCCCGUUUGGUGGGCGUGUCAGAGGUGUGAGCCAAUCAGCAGUGGAAGCCACAGGGUCGUUCGGGGCACCACCGUUAAUAGUAAUCAACGUUUACUGCUGUUUACUGGCCGAGCAGAGAAUCACUGAAACCUGCAGCCAGCUUCAUCACACCUGAGUGGCUGUCAGAUAACACCUGCACAGAGAUGCGGCUCUGCUCGCUCUGCAAGGCGACCAGUUGCUGGUCCAGAACACCUUGACCUCUUUUCAG
Molecule: long non-coding RNA, 366 nt
Organism: Micropterus salmoides (largemouth bass)
Lineage: Eukaryota; Metazoa; Chordata; Actinopteri; Centrarchiformes; Centrarchidae
Exons: 3
Source: RefSeq, a predicted model, not a curated record